GUUUGCCUACGGGGGGCAGCAGUGGGGAAGCUUCCGCAAUGGGCGAAAGCCUGACGGAGCAAUGCCGCGUGAGUGAAGAAGGCCUUCGGGUUGUAAAACUCUGUCCUUAUCGAAGAGAGGUGGGUAUGUGAAUAAUGUACUCAUAGGACGGUAGAUAAGGAGGAAGCCCCGGCUAACUACGUGCCAGCAGUCGCGGGAAUACGUAGGGGGCGAGCGUUGUCCGGAAUCACUGGGCGUAAAGGGCGCGUAGGCGGUUUAAUAAGUCAGUGGUGCAAACGGAGGGCUCAACCCUCAGCCUGCCACUG
RNAcentral lists this ribosomal RNA (305 nucleotides) under uncultured bacterium. RNAcentral's name for it is "bacterial SSU rRNA". It matches the Rfam family "Bacterial small subunit ribosomal RNA", at positions 333 to 629 of the family's 1533-position model. The record is from RNAcentral.